UACGUAGGGUGCAAGCGUUAAUCGGAAUUACUGGGCGUAAAGCGUGCGCAGGCGGUUGGGUAAGUCUGUUGUGAAAUCCCCGGGCUCAACCUGGGAAUUGCGAUGGAGACUGCACGGCUAGAGUGUGUCAGAGGGGGGUAGAAUUCCACGUGUAGCAGUGAAAUGCGUAGAUAUGUGGAGGAACACCGAUGGCGAAGGCAGCCCCCUGGGAUAACACUGACGCUCAUGCACGAAAGCGUGGGGAGCAAACAGG
Molecule: ribosomal RNA, 253 nt
Filed under: uncultured bacterium
Lineage: Bacteria
Description: partial 16S ribosomal RNA
Rfam family: Bacterial small subunit ribosomal RNA
Source: RNAcentral